Aedes aegypti (yellow fever mosquito) is the source of this 116-nucleotide non-coding RNA. The record is from Rfam. Lineage: Eukaryota; Metazoa; Arthropoda; Insecta; Diptera; Culicidae.
UGCCCAGCAACUCCUAUCCUUACCACCUCGCUGUACUGGCCGGGGUACAAGUAACCUUAGGGAAGAUCGGCUAGCCAAUCCCGGUGGGAACUCUGGUUGUAUGCUGACAGGGAAGG